RNAcentral lists this ribosomal RNA (267 nucleotides) under uncultured bacterium. Its description in RNAcentral is "partial 16S ribosomal RNA". It matches the Rfam family "Bacterial small subunit ribosomal RNA", at positions 42 to 305 of the family's 1533-position model. The record is from RNAcentral.
GCAGGCCUAAUACAUGCAAGUCGAACGGUAACAGAAGAGAGCUUGCUCUCUUGCUGACGAGUGGCGGACGGGUGAGUAACGCUUGGGAAUCUACCUAGUAGUGGGGGACAACACGGGGAAACUCGUGCUAAUACCGCAUACGUCCUACGGGAGAAAGUGGGGGAUCUUCGGACCUCACGCUAUUAGAUGAGCCCAAGUCGGAUUAGCUUGUUGGUGAGGUAACGGCUCACCAAGGCGACGAUCCGUAGCUGGUUUGAGAGGAUGACC